GCGGCAACAGCUCAAAUUUGAAAUCUGGUCCCCAGGGCCCGAGUUGUAAUUUGCAGAGGAUGCUUUUGGUGAGGUGCCUUCCGAGUUCCCUGGAACGGGACGCCAUAGAGGGUGAGAGCCCCGUCUGGUUGGAUACCGAGCCUCUGUAAAGCUCCUUCGACGAGUCGAGUAGUUUGGGAAUGCUGCUCUAAAUGGGAGGUAUAUGUCUUCUAAAGCUAAAUAUUGGCCAGAGACCGAUAGCGCACAAGUAGAGUGAUCGAAAGAUGAAAAGCACUUUGAAAAGAGGGUUAAAUAGUACGUGAAAUUGUUGAAAGGGAAGCACUUAUGACCAGACUUGGCCCCGGUGAAUCAUCCAGCGGUUCCCGCUGGUGCACUUUGCCGGGGUUCAGGCCAGCAUCAGUUCGCUCCGGGGGAUAAAGGCUUUGGGAAUGUGGCUCCCUCGGGAGUGUUAUAGCCCAUUGCGUAAUACCUUGUGGCGGGCUGAGGUUCGCGCUUUAUGCAAGGAUGCUGGCAUAAUGGUCAUCAGUGACCCGUCUUGAAACACGGACCAAGGAGUCGUCUUCGUAUGCGAGUGUUCGGGUGUUAAACCCCUACGCGUAAUGAAAGUGAACGCAGGUGAGAGCCCUCCAGGGCGCAUCAUCGACCGAUCCUGAUGUUCUCGGAUGGAUUUGAGUAAGAGCAUACGGGGCCGGACCCGAAAGAAGGUGAACUAUGCCUGUAUAGGGUGAAGCCAGAGGAAACUCUGGUGGAGGCUCGCAGCGGUUCUGACGUGCAAAUCGAUCGUCAAAUAUGGGCAUGGGGGCGAAAGACUAAUCGAACCUUCUAGUAGCUGGUUUC
This 837-nucleotide ribosomal RNA is filed under the name Metarhizium gryllidicola. RNAcentral's name for it is "partial large subunit ribosomal RNA". It matches the Rfam family "Eukaryotic large subunit ribosomal RNA", at positions 98 to 958 of the family's 3401-position model. The record is from RNAcentral. Lineage: Eukaryota; Fungi; Ascomycota; Sordariomycetes; Hypocreales; Clavicipitaceae.